AAAACGACUCUCGGCAACGGAUAUCUUGGCUCACGCAUCGAUGAAGAACGUAGCAAAAUGCGAUACUUGGUGUGAAUUGCAGAAUCCCGUGAACCAUCGAGUUUUUGAACGCAAGUUGCGGCCAAAGCCUUUUGGUCGAGGGCACGUCUGCCUGGGCGUCACAC
RNAcentral lists this ribosomal RNA (164 nucleotides) under Kleinia neriifolia. Its description in RNAcentral is "5.8S ribosomal RNA". It matches the Rfam family "5.8S ribosomal RNA". Rfam says of the family: 5.8S ribosomal RNA (5.8S rRNA) is a component of the large subunit of the eukaryotic ribosome. Lineage: Eukaryota; Viridiplantae; Streptophyta; Magnoliopsida; Asterales; Asteraceae. The record is from RNAcentral.